Molecule: ribosomal RNA, 406 nt
Filed under: uncultured bacterium
Lineage: Bacteria
Description: partial 16S ribosomal RNA
Rfam family: Bacterial small subunit ribosomal RNA
Source: RNAcentral
AUUGCACGCUGGCGGCAGGCCUAACACAUGCAAGUCGAGCGAGCGGCGGACGGGUGAGUAAUGUCUGGGAAACUGCCUGAUGGAGUGGGAUAACUACUGGAAACGGUAGCUAAUACCGCAUACCAUCAGAUGUGCCCAGCGGGGAUUAGCUAGUAGGUGGGGUAAUGUCUCACCUAGGCGCCGAUCCCUAGCUGGUCUGAGAGGAUGACAAGGCACACUGGAACGGAGACACGGGCCAGACGCCUACGGGAGGAAGCAGGGGGGAAGAUUGCACAAUGGGCGCAAGCCUGAUGCAUCCAUGCCGCGUGUGUGAAGAAGGCCUUCGGGUUGUAAAGCACUUUCAGCGUGUAGGCGUUACCCGCAGAAGAAGCACCGGCUAACUCCGUGCCAGCAGCCGCGGUAAUAC